UACGAAGGGGGCUAGCGUUGCUCGGAAUGACUGGGCGUAAAGGGCGCGUAGGCGGAUGGCUUUGUCGGGCGUGAAAUUCCAGGGCUUAACCUUGGGGCUGCGUUCGAGACGGGUUGUCUUGAGUGGGGAAGAGGGUCGUGGAAUUCCCAGUGUAGAGGUGAAAUUCGUAGAUAUCGGGAGGAACACCAGUGGCGAAGGCGGCGACCUGGGCCAAUAUUGACGCUGAGGUGCGAAAGCGUGGGGAGCAAACAGG
Molecule: ribosomal RNA, 253 nt
Filed under: uncultured bacterium
Lineage: Bacteria
Description: partial 16S ribosomal RNA
Rfam family: Bacterial small subunit ribosomal RNA
Source: RNAcentral